This is a long non-coding RNA of Mustela putorius furo (domestic ferret), 2624 nucleotides long. Lineage: Eukaryota; Metazoa; Chordata; Mammalia; Carnivora; Mustelidae. The record is from Ensembl.
CCGAGCAGGAAUGCAAUCACACAGACAGUACCAGAUGGCGACAGCUUCAGAAAUCCAGGUGGUUGCAACAGUGUUUUAUUGAAAGAAGCAGUGAAGUUGGUUCACACGGGCCCCCUCCACCCCGAAACCAUGCAGGGGCAAAUGCUGGGCAAGAAUGUGUGUGUGUUUGGGAUAGGAGCCCUGGUUGGAGUUCUUUCUCUAAGAGGAAGGAGGGGAGAGGGGAGAAGCAGGUGUCACCAUGAGGGAGGUGGGGUAUCUCGCUGCUCUGGCCUCAGGUGCAGACCUACACAGAACCAUCAAAGUGGACUGUCUCAUACUGUACACACUCACAGGCCACGAUGAUGAAUUUCUCUUGCUGCUUGGUCUCGUAGUCGCAUUUGGGGUAUUUGGAGCCUUUCUUCAGGCGGCAGUCGGUGAUGCGCAUUUUGGAACUGCUUUGGUGGCAGUUGGGCUUCCCGUUCUUGCAGGUUACAUUUCCCUGGAAGCAGAUGACCUGGACAUCUGGCAGAGGCUCGUGGAUAAACGUGUUCACCGGCUUGCAAAAUCCAACUGUCAUAUUCCGGCGCUUCAUCAUUUGGUUGCAGUAGCUGGCAUUGACGGUGGAGGUGUUCGAGUCUAUGUGCUGCCGCAGGAACUUCUCGGCCCUCGACUCCUUGGCCAGAGAAGGCUGGACACUGCGAGAACCAGCAGCACCAGAACCAGUAGUGGGAUGAAGAACCUCUCCUGAGCCAUGGUGGUCUCACUCCUCUGGAAGAGCCUAGCCAGGGAAGGGAGAGAAGAGAAAAAGCGCUGCCUGAGAAAGAACCCCAGCUCCUACCUGUGGCCUCCCUGGCUCACAGUCUCCGUUUGGGUCAGCCGGAAAGGUACCCCUCCUCCUGUGCAAUUUUCCAAGGAUUGAGAUGCUCACAUAGACUCUUGUUGAAGAGUAUUUAAGUCCUACUAGCUGGAGAGAGGUGGUCUUUCCCUCUGGUUGGUGACUUGACAGUGAACUAAAAUCCUGCAGUCCUAUGUCUGAAUAUUAGAGAUUUUAAAAUUUAAAAUCUAUUUGAGGGGGCACCUGGAUGGCUCAGUCUUUUAAGUGUCUGCCUUGAGUUCAGGUCGUGAUCUGAAGUCCUAGGAUCUAGUCCUGUCUCGAGCUCAGCUCCCUGGUCACUGGGGAGCCUGCUUCUCCCACUCCCUCUGCUGCCCCCUCUGCUUGUGCUUUCUAUCUAUCCCUGUCAAAUAAAUAAAUAAAAUCUUAAAAACAUUAAAAAAAUUAAAUACAUUUGAAGAAUGAGUACAUUUAUACCCAGUGCUCAAGGUGCUUAUCAGGAAAUCCUUUUGAAUAAAACAUGAGCUGAACUGUAUCCCUGAAAUACCACAUGGCCUAUAGGAUCAUGACGGACAGAGUGAGGCCUAUUGAUCUCCAACACAAGGGCAACAGCCCAGUUCCUAACACCAGUAUCAUAGAGGGAUGCCAUUGUAUUCCCAAGAGCAAUGCUUCCCUCCCCCAGUGCCUUUGUUUCCCUGCAGCCCACAUACUCCAUCCCAUAUUGGUCCAGCUCAAGUUUUUUCAGGUGCUAACCUCAACCACCCUGGUCCCUCUAACCCAACACAGAAGAAGAAGGAGUCCCUGAGAUCAUCUCUUCAGCCACUGACCUGGAUCUCUAGCUUGGUCCCUAGGACAGAGCAGAAGGCCAGUCUCUGUGAUCCCGGGAUCCCUGGGGAGGGAAUCUUAUACAGAUUACAAAGGGGCUUGGCUUCCAAGGAAAGAUAGGUGGGAGGAGCAUCUUGGUUUCACUUUAGUGGGAACCAAAGACAUUGUGAGGAAGGACAUUGUAGGGAACCAUCCACACCACUCUAUUUUCAGGACUGCUGGGAAGGGUGAGUCUUGUUUAUAGGAACCGUACCAUGUGAACCUCAUCUGUCUGCUGGCUCACAAGGAGCAGCAAAGAAAGCCACUACGGUAAUGAUGCCUGAACUGCAGCAAAGUCCUUGUCAUCUCAGGGGGCCAUUUGCAUCAAACAAAUAACUCUUGCAGGUUUGCAAAGGACACAUAAACACGUGAUCCCCAGAGCACCAGAGAAAUGGAGGUCCUCUGUCUCCCCAGGAGUCCUGGUGUGACUGGAAUUCCAACAGCACCUCUUCUGGUGUGGGGGGCAUUCUGCUUUCUGCAGCUGGAAGACUGCAUGGACCUAGGGUGUGUGUGUGGGGGGUCUGGGCUGGGAGAGGAGGAGACCUGCGACCUCACCCAGUGUUGGCCACUUCAGCACUCCUGCGUGUGGAAGGUGGAUGGUUACAGUUCUUGGCCACAGCAACCACUCCUAGAAGGUCAGAGUGGAGGAGAGGAACUAAAGUUAACAAAACCCCAAGGGAUGUCAGGCUGGCUCAGUCACCAAGGCACGGGACAAAUCUUAUGACUUUGCUUCUGUAUCCAUGUCCUGAAACUGUGCCCUGGGCUUUUCACUUCCUGAAAGUGGCAGCUGGAAUGCUGAGGGUGUAACCUGACCAUGUGAAUGGCUUUUCCCCUCGUUAGCACACCAUAAUCUUAAUUCAAUACACUGGCUUUGAUUUCUCAACACACCAACAUAGAAUUAUUUACUCUGGCACUUAGAAAUGAAUAAAAUAAGGCAUUUGCUGACAAA